This 378-nucleotide ribosomal RNA is filed under the name uncultured bacterium. RNAcentral's name for it is "bacterial SSU rRNA". It matches the Rfam family "Bacterial small subunit ribosomal RNA", at positions 521 to 896 of the family's 1533-position model. The record is from RNAcentral.
UAAGACGAACCGUGCGAACGUUAUUCGGAAUCACUGGGCUUAAAGGGCGCGUAGACGGGUCGGCGCAUCGGCCGCUGAAAUCCCCCGGCUCAACCGGGGAAGUGGCGCCGAGAUGGCCGUCCUCGAGUGGAGGAGAGGGACCUGGAACUGCCGGUGGAGCGGUGAAAUGCGUUGAGAUCGGCAGGAACUCCGAUGGCGAAAGCAAGGUCCUGGACUCCCACUGACGUUGAGGCGCGAAAGCCAGGGGAGCGAACGGGAUUAGAUACCCCGGUAGUCCUGGCUGUAAACGAUGGGCACUGGACGGCGAGCUCGCCGAUGGGCGCGCCGUCGCAGCGAAAGCGUGAAGUGCCCCGCCUGGGGAGUAUGGUCGCAAGGCUG